Zea mays is the source of this 862-nucleotide long non-coding RNA. RefSeq lists it as uncharacterized. The record is from RefSeq and is a predicted model, not a curated record. The transcript has 4 exons. NCBI's taxonomy places the organism in Eukaryota, Viridiplantae, Streptophyta, Magnoliopsida, Poales, Poaceae.
UGCUGAUGUGAAUCGGCAAGUUCAACGUGUUUGUUGUUUAUUACAGAAGUGGAUAAGGUCGUUAGAUGGGCUAGAAACCACUAUCUAUCAUCAACAGCUCUUCCUUCUAUCAAGGGAGACAAGUUAAUCAUUCCCCAUGAGAGUCUGGAUAUAUCAAUUGAGAGGCUGAAGGAACAUGGUAUAACAACUAAGAAAUCCUCUCAAAAUUAGAAGAAAAUUGGGGCUUGCCACAUGAGCAUCAGUCAAAGGUGUUUCAUGUUAAGCAUCUAGAAGUAUUGGCUUUAUUUGCUCUCCCAGCAAGUGCUAUCUGCUUCUUUUGUUCUGAUGUUGUCCUGUGCUGAAUAUUGUUCUAAUAUUGCCCAAAUUUGCAUAUUCUAACUUUGCUCAUGUAUUUUGAGCACAUGAACAAAAAGAGCAGAACAUGCGUAUUCAUCCUGUUGACCCUACUGAUCUUCGCAGGCUUGCCUUAAGUUAAGCUGUCAUCCUGCUGUCUAAUCUGAGCAAAUUCUCAGCAGGGAGGGCAGGUUGUAGUUCGUUCCACUACCGGGUACCCAAACGGCCACAGGGUAAAGGAGCCCCGCCGGGCAGCACCACACAGGUGAUAGACACUGCAGUGGCCAGCAAGAAUGGAGUCAUGGAACAUCGACAGGAGGGGUGCGGCAGCGGCAACCGAUGUAUCCCUUGGACAAUCUGGUUUUGACAUGAUGCAAAUCAAUCUGCUGUACUUUGUAUUCUGCACUUGCACAGAUUGUUUGACUAAUUACAAGAUUAUCUCAGUGUUUUGGUUUGGAUUUAGAGUACACUUAUGUAUGAAAUAUUGAUUGGCACUCAUCUAUAUUAUAUUAAUUAUAUUAUUAUUAAA